This 396-nucleotide unclassified non-coding RNA is filed under the name Fusarium sp. 5703. Its description in RNAcentral is "sequence contains ITS1, 5.8S rRNA gene and ITS2". The stretch from base 157 to 310 matches the Rfam family "5.8S ribosomal RNA". The record is from RNAcentral. Lineage: Eukaryota; Fungi; Ascomycota; Sordariomycetes; Hypocreales; Nectriaceae.
GAUCAUUACCGAGUUUACAACUCCCAAACCCCUGUGAACAUACCUAUACGUUGCCUCGGCGGAUCAGCCCGCGCCCCGUAAAACGGGACGGCCCGCCCGAGGACCCUAAACUCUGUUUUUAGUGGAACUUCUGAGUAAAACAAACAAAUAAAUCAAAACUUUCAACAACGGAUCUCUUGGUUCUGGCAUCGAUGAAGAACGCAGCAAAAUGCGAUAAGUAAUGUGAAUUGCAGAAUUCAGUGAAUCAUCGAAUCUUUGAACGCACAUUGCGCCCGCCAGUAUUCUGGCGGGCAUGCCUGUUCGAGCGUCAUUUCAACCCUCAAGCUCAGCUUGGUGUUGGGACUCGCGGUAACCCGCGUUCCCCAAAUCGAUUGGCGGUCACGUCGAGCUUCCAUA